UAACAUUGUGCUUGCACAGAUGACGACCGGCGCACGGGUGCGUAACGCGUAUAGAACCUACCUUUUACAGAGGAAUAGCCUUUAGAAAUGAAGAUUAAUGCCUCAUGGUAUUGUAGACUGGCAUCAGUUUAUAAUUAAAGAUUUAUCGGUAAAAGAUGGCUAUGCGUCCUAUUAGUUAGUUGGUAAGGUAACGGCUUACCAAGACAGCGAUAGGUAGGGGUCCUGAGAGGGAGAUCCCCCACACUGGUACUGAGACACGGACCAGACUCCUACGGGAGGCAGCAGUGAGGAAUAUUGGACAAUGGAGGAGACUCUGAUCCAGCCAUGCCGCGUGUAGGAAGAAUGCCCUAUGGGUUGUAAACUACUUUUAUACAGGAAGAAACACUGGUAUGUAUACCAGCUUGACGGUACUGUAAGAAUAAGGACC
This 427-nucleotide ribosomal RNA is filed under the name uncultured Polaribacter sp. RNAcentral's name for it is "bacterial SSU rRNA". It matches the Rfam family "Bacterial small subunit ribosomal RNA", at positions 70 to 494 of the family's 1533-position model. The record is from RNAcentral. Lineage: Bacteria; Pseudomonadati; Bacteroidota; Flavobacteriia; Flavobacteriales; Flavobacteriaceae.